UCGGGAAUUUUGGGCAAUGGGCGAAAGCCUGACCCAGCAACGCCGCGUGAAGGAUGAAGUAUUUCGGUAUGUAAACUUCGAAAGAAUAGGAAGAAUAAAUGACGGUACUAUUUAUAAGGUCCGGCUAACUACGUGCCAGCAGCCGCGGUAAUACGUAGGGACCAAGCGUUGUUCGGAUUUACUGGGCGUAAAGGGCGCGUAGGCGGCAAUUCAAGUCAUCUGUGAAAUCUCCGGGCUUAACUCGGAACGGUCAACUGAUACUGUCACACUAGAGUACAGAAGGGGCAAUCGGAAUUCUUGGUGUAGCGGUGAAAUGCGUAGAUAUCAAGAGGAACACCUGAGGCGAAGGCGGGUUGCUGGGCUGAUACUGACGCUGAGGCGCGAAAGCUAGGGUAGCAAACGGGAUUAGAUACCCAAGUAGUCCCUGAGCGGGCUGGCAAGGCG
RNAcentral lists this ribosomal RNA (444 nucleotides) under uncultured bacterium. RNAcentral describes it as "bacterial SSU rRNA". It matches the Rfam family "Bacterial small subunit ribosomal RNA", at positions 355 to 822 of the family's 1533-position model. The record is from RNAcentral.